AGCUGUUCCAGCUGCCAGCCUGAGACUGCAGUGGCCAUUGUGUCCUUUCCCUGUGUGCCCACACCAGGGCCCGAGGCAGGCAUGCAGGCCACCCACCUUCCUUGUCCUUGCUGACCCUUCUUCCAAGCAUGAUAGGAGCCCAGCCCUGCCUCGGGCAGUUGGACCAGAGUGACCAGGCAGCAUUCUCCUACCCUGAACCCCCAGCCCAGGGAGGUCUUACAGAGAGAACCAGAACAAAUCUCAGCACUGGCCCAGGUGGUGCUGGGGGUUGGACCUGGGAACCUCAUGCUUGCAAGUCCUGUGCUCUGCUGCUGACUCCUGGCACCUGAUAGCCAAAUGCUCCCCUGUGGUCAGCCCCCAGACUCUGAGCUGGCUCCCCUGCUCACUUGCUGUGUGGCCCCAGGCAAGCUGACUUCCCUCUGGGUCUGUGCCCCUCACAAUGAA
Long non-coding RNA from Erinaceus europaeus (western European hedgehog), 444 nucleotides. RefSeq lists it as uncharacterized. Lineage: Eukaryota; Metazoa; Chordata; Mammalia; Eulipotyphla; Erinaceidae. The transcript is spliced from 3 exons. The record is from RefSeq and is a predicted model, not a curated record.